This 253-nucleotide unclassified non-coding RNA is filed under the name uncultured Verrucomicrobiae bacterium. RNAcentral's name for it is "contains 16S-23S intergenic spacer region". It matches the Rfam family "Bacterial small subunit ribosomal RNA", at positions 524 to 776 of the family's 1533-position model. Lineage: Bacteria; Pseudomonadati; Verrucomicrobiota; Verrucomicrobiia. The record is from RNAcentral.
UACAGAGACGGCAAGCGUUACUCGGAUUCACUGGGCGUAAAGGGAGCGCAGGCGGGCUGGUGUGUCAGGCGUGAAAUCCCGGGGCUCAACCCCGGGGCUGCGUUUGAAACUACCAGUCUAGAGACUCGGAGGGGUAAGCGGAAUUCGUGGUGGAGCAGUGAAAUGCGUAGAUAUCACGAGGAACACCGACGGCGAAGGCAGCUUACUGGACGAGAUCUGACGCUCAGGCUCGAAAGCAUGGGGAGCAAAAGGG